UGUGGGAGGAGAUUUUGUUGCUUUCUAUUUCCCUUUACUGUUUUUAGUUAGAUUGUUUACUUUUAUUGCUUUUUAGUUGUUUACUUUAUUUUAUUUUAUUUUUAGUUAGUGUGUUUUAGAAAAUACAUGUGUCUGAUGAGUCACCAGUAUAGUGUAUCUUUAGUACAUCCUCAUCUCCCCACUCCUUUAGCCCUACCAAAAUUUU
Molecule: long non-coding RNA, 205 nt
Filed under: Lathyrus oleraceus (garden pea)
Lineage: Eukaryota; Viridiplantae; Streptophyta; Magnoliopsida; Fabales; Fabaceae
Description: Pisum sativum (pea) long non-coding RNA (PSAT_LNC022529)
Source: RNAcentral